RNAcentral lists this ribosomal RNA (2789 nucleotides) under Escherichia coli. RNAcentral describes it as "bacterial LSU rRNA". It matches the Rfam family "Bacterial large subunit ribosomal RNA". The record is from RNAcentral. Lineage: Bacteria; Pseudomonadati; Pseudomonadota; Gammaproteobacteria; Enterobacterales; Enterobacteriaceae.
AGCGUACACGGUGGAUGCCCUGGCAGUCAGAGGCGAUGAAGGACGUGCUAAUCUGCGAUAAGCGUCGGUAAGGUGAUAUGAACCGUUAUAACCGGCGAUUUCCGAAUGGGGAAACCCAGUGUGUUUCGACACACUAUCAUUAACUGAAUCCAUAGGUUAAUGAGGCGAACCGGGGGAACUGAAACAUCUAAGUACCCCGAGGAAAAGAAAUCAACCGAGAUUCCCCCAGUAGCGGCGAGCGAACGGGGAGGAGCCCAGAGCCUGAAUCAGUGUGUGUGUUAGUGGAAGCGUCUGGAAAGGCGCGCGAUACAGGGUGACAGCCCCGUACACAAAAAUGCACAUGCUGUGAGCUCGAUGAGUAGGGCGGGACACGUGGUAUCCUGUCUGAAUAUGGGGGGACCAUCCUCCAAGGCUAAAUACUCCUGACUGACCGAUAGUGAACCAGUACCGUGAGGGAAAGGCGAAAAGAACCCCGGCGAGGGGAGUGAAAAAGAACCUGAAACCGUGUACGUACAAGCAGUGGGAGCACAGAGCAAUCUGUGUGACUGCGUACCUUUUGUAUAAUGGGUCAGCGACUUAUAUUCUGUAGCAAGGUUAACCGAAUAGGGGAGCCGAAGGGAAACCGAGUCUUAACUGGGCGUUAAGUUGCAGGGUAUAGACCCGAAACCCGGUGAUCUAGCCAUGGGCAGGUUGAAGGUUGGGUAACACUAACUGGAGGACCGAACCGACUAAUGUUGAAAAAUUAGCGGAUGACUUGUGGCUGGGGGUGAAAGGCCAAUCAAACCGGGAGAUAGCUGGUUCUCCCCGAAAGCUAUUUAGGUAGCGCCUCGUGAAUUCAUCUCCGGGGGUAGAGCACUGUUUCGGCAAGGGGGUCAUCCCGACUUACCAACCCGAUGCAAACUGCGAAUACCGGAGAAUGUUAUCACGGGAGACACACGGCGGGUGCUAACGUCCGUCGUGAAGAGGGAAACAACCCAGACCGCCAGCUAAGGUCCCAAAGUCAUGGUUAAGUGGGAAACGAUGUGGGAAGGCCCAGACAGCCAGGAUGUUGGCUUAGAAGCAGCCAUCAUUUAAAGAAAGCGUAAUAGCUCACUGGUCGAGUCGGCCUGCGCGGAAGAUGUAACGGGGCUAAACCAUGCACCGAAGCUGCGGCAGCGACGCUUAUGCGUUGUUGGGUAGGGGAGCGUUCUGUAAGCCUGCGAAGGUGUGCUGUGAGGCAUGCUGGAGGUAUCAGAAGUGCGAAUGCUGACAUAAGUAACGAUAAAGCGGGUGAAAAGCCCGCUCGCCGGAAGACCAAGGGUUCCUGUCCAACGUUAAUCGGGGCAGGGUGAGUCGACCCCUAAGGCGAGGCCGAAAGGCGUAGUCGAUGGGAAACAGGUUAAUAUUCCUGUACUUGGUGUUACUGCGAAGGGGGGACGGAGAAGGCUAUGUUGGCCGGGCGACGGUUGUCCCGGUUUAAGCGUGUAGGCUGGUUUUCCAGGCAAAUCCGGAAAAUCAAGGCUGAGGCGUGAUGACGAGGCACUACGGUGCUGAAGCAACAAAUGCCCUGCUUCCAGGAAAAGCCUCUAAGCAUCAGGUAACAUCAAAUCGUACCCCAAACCGACACAGGUGGUCAGGUAGAGAAUACCAAGGCGCUUGAGAGAACUCGGGUGAAGGAACUAGGCAAAAUGGUGCCGUAACUUCGGGAGAAGGCACGCUGAUAUGUAGGUGAAGUCCCUCGCGGAUGGAGCUGAAAUCAGUCGAAGAUACCAGCUGGCUGCAACUGUUUAUUAAAAACACAGCACUGUGCAAACACGAAAGUGGACGUAUACGGUGUGACGCCUGCCCGGUGCCGGAAGGUUAAUUGAUGGGGUCAGCGCAAGCGAAGCUCUUGAUCGAAGCCCCGGUAAACGGCGGCCGUAACUAUAACGGUCCUAAGGUAGCGAAAUUCCUUGUCGGGUAAGUUCCGACCUGCACGAAUGGCGUAAUGAUGGCCAGGCUGUCUCCACCCGAGACUCAGUGAAAUUGAACUCGCUGUGAAGAUGCAGUGUACCCGCGGCAAGACGGAAAGACCCCGUGAACCUUUACUAUAGCUUGACACUGAACAUUGAGCCUUGAUGUGUAGGAUAGGUGGGAGGCUUUGAAGUGUGGACGCCAGUCUGCAUGGAGCCGACCUUGAAAUACCACCCUUUAAUGUUUGAUGUUCUAACGUGGACCCGUAAUCCGGGUUGCGGACAGUGUCUGGUGGGUAGUUUGACUGGGGCGGUCUCCUCCUAAAGAGUAACGGAGGAGCACGAAGGUUGGCUAAUCCUGGUCGGACAUCAGGAGGUUAGUGCAAUGGCAUAAGCCAGCUUGACUGCGAGCGUGACGGCGCGAGCAGGUGCGAAAGCAGGUCAUAGUGAUCCGGUGGUUCUGAAUGGAAGGGCCAUCGCUCAACGGAUAAAAGGUACUCCGGGGAUAACAGGCUGAUACCGCCCAAGAGUUCAUAUCGACGGCGGUGUUUGGCACCUCGAUGUCGGCUCAUCACAUCCUGGGGCUGAAGUAGGUCCCAAGGGUAUGGCUGUUCGCCAUUUAAAGUGGUACGCGAGCUGGGUUUAGAACGUCGUGAGACAGUUCGGUCCCUAUCUGCCGUGGGCGCUGGAGAACUGAGGGGGGCUGCUCCUAGUACGAGAGGACCGGAGUGGACGCAUCACUGGUGUUCGGGUUGUCAUGCCAAUGGCACUGCCCGGUAGCUAAAUGCGGAAGAGAUAAGUGCUGAAAGCAUCUAAGCACGAAACUUGCCCCGAGAUGAGUUCUCCCUGACUCCUUGA